RNAcentral lists this ribosomal RNA (313 nucleotides) under uncultured eukaryote. Its description in RNAcentral is "partial 18S ribosomal RNA". It matches the Rfam family "Eukaryotic small subunit ribosomal RNA", at positions 1470 to 1796 of the family's 1831-position model. The record is from RNAcentral.
CCCCUAGAUGUUCUGGGCCGCACGCGCGCUACACUGAACAGUUCAACAAGUCUUAACCUUGGCCGAUAGGUCUGGGUAAUCUUUGAACGCUGUUCGUGAUUGGGAUAGACCUUUGCAAUUAUGGGUCUUCAACGAGGAAUUCCUAGUAAACGCAAGUCAUCAGCUUGCAUUGAUUACGUCCCUGCCCUUUGUACACACCGCCCGUCGCACCUACCGAUUGAGUGGUUCGGUGAACUUUUUGGACUGCGCAGGCAUUAGUCUGUGCGGGAAGUUAAUUAAACCAUAUCACUUAGAGGAAGGAAAANUCGUANCA